UGCGUAGGUGGUUUGUUAAGUCUGAUGUGAAAGCCCUGGGCUCAACCUGGGAAUUGCAUUGGAUACUGGCAGGCUAGAGUGCGGUAGAGGAUGGCGGAAUUCCCGGUGUAGCAGUGAAAUGCGUAGAGAUCGGGAGGAACAUCUGUGGCGAAGGCGGCCAUCUGGACCAGCACUGACACUGAGGCACGAAAGCGUGGGGAGCAAACAGGAUUAGAUACCCUGGUAGUCCACGCCCUAAACGAUGCGAACUGGAUGUUGGGAGCAACUAGGCUCUCAGUAUCGAAGCUAACGCGUUAAGUUCGCCGCCUGGGGAGUACGGUCGCAAGACUGAA
This 332-nucleotide ribosomal RNA is filed under the name uncultured Lysobacter sp. RNAcentral describes it as "bacterial SSU rRNA". It matches the Rfam family "Bacterial small subunit ribosomal RNA", at positions 568 to 898 of the family's 1533-position model. The record is from RNAcentral. Lineage: Bacteria; Pseudomonadati; Pseudomonadota; Gammaproteobacteria; Lysobacterales; Lysobacteraceae.